Long non-coding RNA from Ceratina calcarata, 525 nucleotides. RefSeq lists it as uncharacterized. Lineage: Eukaryota; Metazoa; Arthropoda; Insecta; Hymenoptera; Apidae. The transcript has 3 exons. The record is from RefSeq and is a predicted model, not a curated record.
CGUAGUGUGUGUAUUGCGUGGCGCUAUCAUUGCCACGACGCAGCGCUUGUGCUAAACGACAUCCUACUUCCGGCUCCUCAGCUAAGCUAACCUUACGAGGAUUUGCCGGAGCUUUUCGUUAUUAAAUGGGGACGAAUGGAGGCGAACUUUACGUUUGAAGCGGUCAGCCGUUAAUAAAAUUUCCCGCGAAAUAACAGGCGAGGCUGCUGUGGCAGGCGAAUUUCUGCUGUACACUGUAUCUAAAAAUGGAUAACAUUCUGCCUUAUGGCACCGCUAUCAAUGUCUACCCCCUUGAAGCUCGCGUCCACGUCUGACUGGCCUGUCUGACCAUGACUUACUGUAUCUACUGCGUCACCUACUGAUGCUUCUAUCCUGAUUCCUGAUGAUGCUGCAACCGUGUAAUAUUUAUUAUUGUUAAUUAAUUAUUUAUUUCUUGUUUUACAAGAAACUAAAUCAUAUAUUUAAAAUAGACAAUCAAGGAGUUUAUUAAUUCAGAUUCACGUAAUGAUAAUUAAUCGCAGAAAU